RNAcentral lists this transfer RNA (71 nucleotides) under Cordylochernes scorpioides. RNAcentral describes it as "tRNA-Gly". The record is from RNAcentral. Lineage: Eukaryota; Metazoa; Arthropoda; Arachnida; Pseudoscorpiones; Chernetidae.
UGCAUCGGCCGAGAAUCGAACCCGGGCCGCCCGUGUGGCAGGCGAGCAUUCUACCACUGAACCACCGAUGC